GAGAACUGAGAAAGGAUAAAACUUAAUACAUUGCAUAUACAUGUAGCUAGCUUAUUUGUAUUUAUACAUGCAUAAAUAUGCUGUAUUUUACAGAUUCCAUUGAAGUAUCAAGCUGGUCUUUCUACAGCAAUGUCGCAAGCAAAAUCUGCUUUGAGUCUACCACUAAAUGAGAGAUUGUCUCAGUGGGGUUUCAUGUCCCGAUAUAAUAAAGGUCGUAAGAGAAAAGGCAGCUCAAAUCAAGGCAAGAGGAAAGCCUUCAAAAAGACCAACUGAUAAACUGUCUAAGAAAAAUGAUGAACUAGCUCCAUGAAGAACGCAUCUUGUAUACAUUAUUCACCCAGCAUUAAUCACUUAUAACUAUAUCAGAAUUAACCACUUCAUAUUAGAUCUAUUAUAGCUGGUCUAUUAUUGCUAUUGUAUUUAUUCAGCAUGAUCACUAUUGUAGUCAGUACUACAUUUCAGUACUAGACUACUCACCACAA
Long non-coding RNA from Amphimedon queenslandica, 482 nucleotides. RefSeq lists it as uncharacterized. NCBI's taxonomy places the organism in Eukaryota, Metazoa, Porifera, Demospongiae, Haplosclerida, Niphatidae. The transcript is spliced from 3 exons. The record is from RefSeq and is a predicted model, not a curated record.